Musa acuminata AAA Group (dessert banana) is the source of this 1094-nucleotide long non-coding RNA. RefSeq lists it as uncharacterized. NCBI's taxonomy places the organism in Eukaryota, Viridiplantae, Streptophyta, Magnoliopsida, Zingiberales, Musaceae. The record is from RefSeq and is a predicted model, not a curated record. The transcript has 6 exons.
CUCGCCUCAUCUCGCCCUUUCUUCUCUCAAAUCCUGCUCAAAGCCCAAACCCUCGCCGUCUCUUCCUUCGUCCGCCACCGCCUCAUCUCCCCGUUUCAGUAAAGAAUGGCUCGAUUCAAAAGGAAGAAGGCGCUCCCAAAGCCGUCUACGGUGAAGAAUACACUCUGAGUGGAUCGGAUCACUGGGCAGACGAUCCCGAAGAGUUUUGUCUUCUCCAGGGGGAAGCUAGGCCUUCCCAGAGAUCUCGAAUUGGAUCUCCGGAAGCUUAUGCUCCCCCAUACCACCUUAAAAUUAAAGGAGAAGAAACAGAAUAAACUCGAAGACUUGUGAAUGUUGCAGGGCCUAUGGGUGUGACCCAUUUUCUUAUACCAUCAAACUCAAAUGAGCAUGCCCCAUUUGCGUGUUGCAAGGACACCGCAAGGUCCAACAUUAACUUGUAAGAUACAUGAAUAUGCGUUGGCUGCUGAUAUUAUUCGAUCUCAGUCUCAUCCCAGUUGUCUUAAAGAGCUGUUCAGUAACUCGCCCCUAAUUUUUCUUUCUGGCUUUGGGAGUGGAGAUCAGCACCUGAAGCUCACAAGAAUCAUGUUUCAAAACAUCGUCUCAGCCAUUGACAUAAAUACGCAUUAUUCCAUCCGUCUACAACUGAUUGGUGUAACUCGGAGGAUUAGAAAGUUUGUUUGAAUCUUGGCAUGCCAGAUUUGAGGAAUCUUCAGGAUGUUGGCGAUUUCCUGACCAAGGCUGGCUAUGGUUCAGAAAGUGAAGCUGAUGAAGAAUCGGCAACUCAGUUUGGCAAGUGAGCUUGACAGAGUAAACCGGGCAUCUACCCAAAGUGCUGUUAGACUUCAGGAAAUUGGACCCAGGAUGACACUUCAUUUGGUUAAAGUCUAGGAAGGGUUAUGCUCUGGAGCUGUUAUAUACAAUGACUUUGGUAAAGGAGAUUGACUCGUUUGGUCUCUCUGAUGGGUGUCAAACCAUGUAGUGUUUUCUAAGCUGCAUCCUAAUAUGUAGCUGUCAUUUAUUUCAUCCGUGAUUGUGUUUUUUUUUUUCAGCGAUGAUAUGUUGAUUCUUAAUGCAGUAAAUAUUUCUCUCCCCAA